This 253-nucleotide ribosomal RNA is filed under the name uncultured bacterium. RNAcentral describes it as "partial 16S ribosomal RNA". It matches the Rfam family "Bacterial small subunit ribosomal RNA", at positions 524 to 776 of the family's 1533-position model. The record is from RNAcentral.
AACGUAGGAAACAAACGUUAUCCGGAGUUACUGGGCGUAAAGGGCGUGUAGGCGGUCUGUUAAGUCUGGCGUGAAAGCUCUCGGCUAAACCGGGAGAGGUCGUUGGAUACUGGCAGACUAGAGGACGGUAGAGGCGUGUGGAAUUCCGGGUGUAGUGGUGAAAUGCGUAGAGAUCCGGAGGAACACCAGUGGCGAAGGCGACACGCUGGGCCGUACCUGACGCUAAAGCGCGACAGCAUGGGGAGCAAACGGG